UACGAAGGGUGCUAGCGUUGCUCGGAAUCACUGGGCGUAAAGGGUGCGUAGGCGGGUCUUUAAGUCAGGGGUGAAAUCCUGGAGCUCAACUCCAGAACUGCCUUUGAUACUGAAGAUCUUGAGUUCGGGAGAGGUGAGUGGAACUGCGAGUGUAGAGGUGAAAUUCGUAGAUAUUCGCAAGAACACCAGUGGCGAAGGCGGCUCACUGGCCCGAUACUGACGCUGAGGCACGAAAGCGUGGGGAGCGAACAGG
This 253-nucleotide ribosomal RNA is filed under the name uncultured bacterium. RNAcentral describes it as "partial 16S ribosomal RNA". It matches the Rfam family "Bacterial small subunit ribosomal RNA", at positions 524 to 776 of the family's 1533-position model. The record is from RNAcentral.